UACCAGCUCUCCGAGUGGUGUGGAUGUUUAUUGGGCCUAAAGCAUCCGUAGCUGGCUGGACAAGUCCCCUGUUAAAUCCACCGAUUUAAUCGUUGGUGUGCGGGGGAUACUGUUCGGCUAGGGGACGGGAGAGGCCGACGGUAUUUCCGGGGUAGGGGUGAAAUCCUAUAAUCCCGGGAAGACCACCAGUGGCGAAGGCUGUCGGCUAGAACGCGCCCGACGGUGAGGGAUGAAAGCUGGGGGAGCGAACCGGAUUAGAUACCCGGGUAGUCCCAGCUGUAAACGGUGCAGGCUAGGUGUUUGGGCGGCCACGUGCCGCUCUAGUGCCGCAAGGAAGCUGUUAAGCCUGCCGCCUGGGGAGUACGGCCGCAAGGCUGAAACUUAAAGGAAUUGGCGGGGAGCACCACAAGGGGUGAAGCUUGCGGUUU
Molecule: ribosomal RNA, 428 nt
Filed under: uncultured archaeon
Lineage: Archaea
Description: bacterial SSU rRNA
Rfam family: Archaeal small subunit ribosomal RNA
Source: RNAcentral